Molecule: ribosomal RNA, 468 nt
Filed under: uncultured bacterium
Lineage: Bacteria
Description: partial 16S ribosomal RNA
Rfam family: Bacterial small subunit ribosomal RNA
Source: RNAcentral
GACGAACGCUGGCGGCGUGCUUAACACAUGCAAGUCGAACGGAAAGGCCCUGCUUUUGUGGGGUGCUCGAGUGGCGAACGGGUGAGUAACACGUGAGUAACCUGCCCUUGACUUUGGGAUAACUUCUGGAAACUGGGGCUAAUACCGGAUAGGAGCUCCUGCUGCACGGUGGGGGUUGGAAAGUUUCGGCGGUUGGGGAUGGACUCGCGGCUUAUCAGCUUGUUGGUGGGGUAGUGGCUUACCAAGGCUUUGACGGGUAGCCGGCCUGUGAGGGUGACCGGCGACAAUGGGACUGAGAUACGGCCCAGACUCCUACGGGAGGCAGCAGUGGGGAAUAUUGCGCAGUGGGCGGAAGCCUGAUGCAGAGACGCCGCGUGCGGGAUGACGGCCUUCGGGUGGUAAACCGCUUUCGCCUGUGACGAAGCGUGAGUGACGGUAAUGGGUAAAGAAGCACCGGCUAACUACGUG